This 1309-nucleotide small RNA is filed under the name Pongo abelii (Sumatran orangutan). RNAcentral's name for it is "retained intron". Lineage: Eukaryota; Metazoa; Chordata; Mammalia; Primates; Hominidae. The record is from RNAcentral.
GAAACAUCAUCUUUAGAUGGAGAAAACAGAAGAAUUCUGAUCAACACAGACAUUGGAUUGCCCAAUGGCUUAACCUUUGACCCUUUCUCUAAACUGCUCUGCUGGGCAGAUGCAGGAACCAAAAAACUGGAGUGUACACUACCCGAUGGAACUGGACGGCAUGUCAUUCAAAACAACCUCAAGUACCCCUUUAGCAUCGUAAGCUAUGCAGAUCACUUCUACCACACAGACUGGAGGAGGUGAGCCCCACACAUUCUGGACCAGCCUGAAAAGGCCAACUGUUCCAGAGGACACACCACUUGUUUUACCAAAAGUCAGUACGUGACUUGACUCAUUAAGCCCUCUGAGGCUUUUGUUUCAUCACCUCCUCAUUGGCAGAUAAGAUCCUUCAAGGAUGUUUUUCAUCCUUUCAUGUUUUUGAAAUCAUCCUUUUACUUCACCCAGAAAUCGAAUGGUAUUGCUCACAUAUAGCUUAAAAAGUAGCAAAGCUAUUUGAUAACUGUCUCAAAAGGGACCAUAUUAAUCUAAAUAUGUUCUUUAGAGAAUAAGACUACCCUUGAUACCAUGAGCUAUAUUACAGGGCUUAAGUUGGCUUUUGACACUGUGGACAUAUUGUCUGAGGGACCAAAAAAUACUAUUUAGACUAGUUCUCAAAUGAGGAACUGCGGAACAUUAAAAAGUCUAGGCCCUUUACCCCAUGCCCUACAAAUCUGAUUUGAUAGCUCAUCAUGUGAUUCUAACAUGCAGCUAGAGAUGAGCAAUGGAUUUAGAGCAGUGGUCUUCAAACUUCAGCAUGGCUUUAGCAUCAGCCCUUGGACAGAGAAGGCUGCCAGAAAUUUUCCUCUAUUGCAACUGAUUUUUUUGUAGCUAACUUCUUUAUCUAGUAAAUGACUCUCCCUGAAUUCACUCUUCCUUUCCGUUACCAGGGAUGGUGUUGUAUCAGUAAAUAAACAUAGUGGCCAGUUUACUGAUGAGUAUCUCCCAGAACAACGAUCUCACCUCUACGGGAUAACUGCAGUCUACCCCUACUGCCCAACAGGAAGAAAGAUGUAAAGGAAGACUUGGAGUUUACAAUCAGAACCUGGACCCUAAAGAACAGUGACUGCAAAGGCAAAGAAAGUAAAAAAGGAAUUGGCCAUUAGGCGUUCCUGAACAUACAAGAUGAACAUUUUUUAGUGCAAAAAGACUUUUGUGAAAAGCUGAUACCUCAAUCUUUACUACUGUAUUUUUAAAAAUGAAGGUUGUUAUUGCAAGUUUAAAAAGGUAACAGAAUUUUAACUGUUGCUUAUUAAAGCAACUUCUUGUAAAC